Pan troglodytes (chimpanzee) is the source of this 24325-nucleotide long non-coding RNA. RefSeq lists it as uncharacterized. Lineage: Eukaryota; Metazoa; Chordata; Mammalia; Primates; Hominidae. The record is from RefSeq and is a predicted model, not a curated record. The transcript is spliced from 8 exons.
AUGAAUUAUGAAACCACUCACGCAGGUUGAGAGGUUACACUGAACUGGGGAGGUGCCGCCACCAGUGUCUGCUCAAAGUGGUUGGGGGGUGGGUUGCUCCCCACUUAGGAGGGAAGGGGGAAUAUGAACAGGUGAGUGGCCACAGUGGGGGUGUGACCCGUAGACAGUGGGACCAGCGGGGGCUUCCCAAAUCCUGGGCCCUCAGACUGCAGGAUCAGAAGAGGGAAAAAACCCCAUAGGACGGGCUCAGCUUCCCGAGGCUGGAGGGUGAGGCUGCCCCCUAGUGGCUGAAGUUCACGACCGGACGGACGUUCAAGGAGUCCCGGGCGUUCCAAUGCUUUCUCCCAGGAAGUGGGCUCUGCAGGCUGGAGGUGCCCUAGUGUCAGUGUGAAGGCUGGGAGCCAACGUCUAAUCAUCAAGGUGAUGGAACUCUGAGGGCUGAAGGGAUGUUAAGGCACUGAGGGCCAGAGCACUUGUUCUCAUCAGCAUCAUCAUCAGCAUCAGCAUCAUUGUCACCGUAAUCAGCAUCAUCGGCAUCAGCAUCAUCAGCAUCACCACCCUCAUCAUCAUCAGUAGCAUCAAUAUCACUAUCAUCAGCAUGAGCAUCAGCAUCAUCAGCAGCAUCAGCACCAUCAGCAUCAUCGUCAUCAGCAUCAUCAGCAUCAUCAGCAGCAUCACCACCAUUAUCAGCAUCAGGAUCACCAUCUAACAUUUUUUGAGGGCUUCAAAUGCACAAGGCACUGGGCUGAUUUCUUUACAUGCAUUGUCUCACUUGUUUCCAACAAUGACAGCCCCCAAAGUUAAGUAUUAUUAUUGUUAAUAUCCUCAUUUACAGAUAUGUAAACUGAAACUUAGAGAGAUUAAGCAACUUGCUUAGGGCCACAGAGCUAUGUUAAGUGUAAUUUUAAAAAAUGUAAAUCACAAUUCUCAGGAAAAUAUAAAAUGAUACCAUGUCAAAGAUUUUAUUUAACUCAAUAACCAAUGAGAGAACCAAUAAGAAGUUUAAACUUAUUCAAAGAGCAUUAGAGAAUUUAGAUAUAUGCAGGCAAUUUAACAACAAAAAAAUAAGGCAAGUAUGAUAGGCUAAAUAAUGUUCCCUCUGAAAAAAAAUCUAUCCUGAUCCCUGGAAUUUCUGAAUAUGUUACUUAUGUUACUUUAUAAAUAGAAAGGACUUUACAGAUGUGAUUAAAUUAUGGGUUUUGAGAUGGGGAGGUUAUUCUGGAUUAUCUGGGUAGGUCCAAUGUAAUCACAUGCAUUCUUAUAAGAGGGUGACAGGAGUGUCAGCUGAGAGAGAAGACAUAAGAAUGAAAGCGGAGGUUGGAGUGAUGUGCUUUGAAGAUGGAGGAAGAGGCCAUAAGCCAAGGAAUGUACGUUAUCCCUAGAAGCUGGAAAAGACAAGAAAACAAAUCCUUUUCUAGAGCCUCCAGAAGAAAAGGGCUCUGCUUACACCUUGAUUUUAGCCCAGUGAAACUGAUUUUGAACUUCUGACAUCUAGUACUGUAAGAUAAUACAUUUGCAUGAUUUUUACACCCUAAAAUGUGUUACAUUGUUAUAUCAGCAGUAGAAAUUUAAUACCAAAAGAUUACUGGGUGAGAUAGAAAGCUAGUUAAUGUCCAACAGGGCUAUCAACUAUAACCCUUGGAGCUAAUUCUUCUACCAGAGUUAAAUUAUUUGCUUCUUUGCGGGGCCAAAAUUUGUAAGUAAACCUCUGCCGUUAUGGAGAUGAAAAUUGACUAGUCAGUAGAAAUCCCAGCUUUGCACUGGCAAAUCACUCAAUAAUCUCUUCUGCACGUUCCCAAGUUUAGAAUACUCUUUUGGACAGUUAGGAAGUCGAAGCGCUGAGAUUUGAACCAGGCUCUUCUAAGUCCAGAAUCUGUGCUCUUAAUCACUAAGGAACAUAUUUUUUAUUAGCAUUAUUUCAUAGACUAGCAGGACAAUCAGUGGCAAGAAAAAUUGUCCAUGGAAACUGAGAACACAGCUUAAAGAUUGCCAGGUUUGGGUGUGGUGGCUCACACCUUUAAUUCCAGUGUUUUGGGAGGCUGAGGCGGGAGGAUUGCUUGAGGCUAGGAGUUCAAGAGCAGCCUGGGCAACAGGGUGAGACCUCCAUCUUUACAACAAAUAAUAAAAAAAAAAAGCCAAGUGUGAUGGUGUGGACCUGUGGUCCUAGCUACUCAGGAGGUGGAGGUGGGAGGAUUUUGUGAGCCCAAGUGUUCAAGGUUAUAGUGAGCUAUGAUUGCACUCUAGCCUGGGUGACAGAGAAAGACCCUGUCUCUAAAGAAAAAUUAAAAAAAAAAAAGAUUGCCAGUUUGAUUCACCAACUCCUUCAUGGUGCUUCCCCCAAACAGAGGACCACAGAAAGAACCUUCUCCCUCCAUAACAUGGAAAUUCCUACACUAGCUCUCUGAAAACUUAGAUCCAAGCUUUCAGUAGGUGGUUUAGAUAGGUUCCUGGUUGGAGUAACUUGAAGGCUGGGGUGGGAAACUAAAAUACACCUCCCCACAACUGUUCCCUUCCCUGCUCAAGAGUAAAUGGUCUUGACAAGCCCUUCUUUAAAACUGUGUUACUUGGUUAGACAUCAAAACACUUUGCCUAGUAAAUGCUUGAAAAAGGUUUGCAUUGCAUUUGGUUUGGUGGAAGGGCAAAGUAGACUUUGGGAGUGAGAAAAGUCAGGAGGGACAAAUGAGUGAGUUGUGUCAGGAACUAGCAUGGCAUUCUUAAGAGUCACACGGGCUGGGUGCAGUGGCUCACGCCUGUAAUCCCAGCAUUUUGGGAAGCCGAGGUGGGCAGAUCACGAGGUCAAGAGAUAGAGACCAUCCUGGCCAACAUGGUGAAACCCUGUCUCUACUAAAAAUACAAAAAUUAGCCAGGUGUGGUGGCACAUGCCUGUAAUCCCAGCUACUCAGGAGGCUGAGGCAGGAGAAUCCCUUGAACCCAGGAAGCAGAGCUUGCAGUGAGCUGAGAUUGUGCCAUUGCACUCCAGUCUGGGCGACAGAGCGAGAUUCCGUCUCAAACAAACAAACAAAAAAAAGAGUCAUGGGUUGAAGCGUCCCAUUGCAGUUGGGAACCUUUAUGGGAAAGUGGGGUCUCUGAUUAGACAGGUGGAAUGUGGCUAGAGUCUUGAAUGGGGGCUGGGCAGUGUAGGUUUACCUUAUAGGGCAAUCAUUCUUGAAGCUGAACAUUAGAAUAAACUGGCAAGAGUUAAGAAAUAUGAAUGCAACCCUGUAUUCAUCUACUGAGGCUGCCAUAACAAAAUACCAUAGAAUUGGUGACUUAAGCAACAGAAAUUAAUUUUCUAACAAUGCUGGAGGCUAGAGAUCAAAGUGUUGGCAGUGUUGGUUUCUCCUGAGGCCUCUUUCCUUGAUUUGUAGAUGGCCAUCCUCUCCCUGUGUCUUCAGAUGGUCUUUCCUUUGUUACUGUCCAUGUCUGAAUAUUCUUUUCUUAUAAGCCUUCCCCUAUUGCCCCAAUUCUUCCCAUUAGGAACCUCACCAGCACCACAGGACCCACCACCACCAUCACAAGCCUUAUCAUCACCCCUGCCUUCUCUAUCCCUGCAGCAGUCCGGGGAUAGACACAGGGAGAGGACAGCCAUCUUACCAGCCAAGGAAGGAAGCCUCAGAGAAACCAACACUGCCAACACUCGGAUCUCUGGCCUCCAGGAUUGUGACCGCACCCACCACAGUUAUCACAGGGGCAGCUAUAAUGGCAGCAGCUGCAGCAGCAGUGAGCCCCAUGCCAAUAGAGAGACAUAGGCAGUCACACCCAUUGUAGAACUGAUCACUUAGGCCAAGUUAUUAAUUUUGUACUGGAGGAAACUGAAGUCCAGAGAGGUCAACUGACUUAUUCAAGCCUAUGGAGCUCUUAAAUACAAAACUAAGUCCAAAGAUCCUAUUUUUUGGCCUCACAUUUUCUUUCUUUCUACUGGUCCACAUGACUUCAUCCCAGCCCAUCAGCCCUGGAGGCUGGGCUAAGGACAGCCCCACUAUUUGAGCCUGCUCUUCCUUCCUAUCAGGAGCAAACCAUCAUGAAAAUCAGCCCCAUUAAACUCUGAUUGUCUGUGUCUGGGCCAUGUGUUUCCCUUGUCAAGGGGUUGAAAUGCUCUGAUUUAAGGGUAGGCAGGAUACUUCUUUUAAUGUUUUUAGUUAGGACUUGGUCAGCAAACAGGGACAAACCUGAUCAAAUGUGGCAUAAGCAAACUGCAAACUCGGCUCAUGUAACAAGACCAAGGCAGCCCUGGCUGCAGGCGUAGAAAGAUUCAGGGCUCACAUGAUGCAAUCACGUGUCUCUCCUUUCUGCUUGCUUCGCAAUCUGUUGACUCCAGUCUCAGACUCCAUUUGGUAGUGAGAUGGUAGCUUCAGCUUGUGAAUUCUCUGGUGCAGCAGGAAAGAGGUAGCCUGUUUCUCAAUAACACAAAUGAAAGUCAUGGAAUUAAUUAAUGCAAAAAUAUUUAUUGAGGUCCUAGGAUGCACCAGACAUUCUUCUACAUGCUGGGGAUACUGAAGUGGACAGAGAGAAGAGGUUCCUGUCAUCAUGGAGCUUACUUGAGUCUUCUUAGGCUCUGACAUGACUGUUUUUGGCCAUGUGUAAUCUGUGAGCCAAUCACUGUAGCCACGAGUACGCGAUGUGCUGGGUUAUGUGCCCCACUUAAAGAAUGCAAGCCUCAGGGCAGGCGUGGUGGCUCACGCCUGUAAUCCCAGCAUUUUGGGAAGCCGAGGUAGGCGGAUUGCCUGAGGUCAGGAGUUUGAGACCAGACUGGCCAACAUGGUGAAACCCUGUCUCUACUAAAAAUACAAACAUUAGCCAGGCGUGGUGCUGGGUGCCUGUGAUCCCAGCUACUCAGGAGGCUGAAGCAGGAGAAUCGCUUGAACCCAGGAGGCGGAUGUUGCAGUGAACCAAGAUGACGCCACUGCGCUUCAGCCUGGGCAUUCUUUCAAAAACAGAAUGCAGGUCUCUUUUUGAGUGCCAGGACUAUGUCAUAGUUAUGUUUGUGAUGUGUCCACAAAGCAUAACCCAAGGGCUGUCCAUAAUAAGCACAUGAGAAGUGACAUCAAACGAGUGAACAACUGAGUAAAUAAACCACAGAGAGAGAAAGUUCAUGAAAGGCAAAUGUGUAAAAACACACGAAAAGGGGAUAAAUCCAAGUAAAUCGAACAAUGAAAUGCUAGCUCUCAGUUGCCAAUCCAAAAAGAGACAUAAUAUUCACUAGAGAUGACUUGCUAAAAAUAUUUGCCCAGUGUGUUUCAUAUCAGGCCAAGAAAAUCCUGCUCAUUAUUCAGAGAAACAUUAGACACAAAAUCUGAAGUUGCAGUUCAUUUCAGAGUUGUCCCUGGGGGGUGUCAACAAACCGGGGUCACUCUGGACCUCACACUUUGAGGAGCAAGUGAAAGAAGAAAUGAAGACAGCUCACAGCUGGCAGCUAAAAUAUGUCGAUGUCAUUAUGUAAAUAUCUGCCACCCUCAGCCCUCCAUGGUCUCUCUUGCAGCCUGCUGUGGGCACCUGGGAAACACUUCUCCCUGUUGUCUGGUGUUCUUGGACAUAGCCUCUUAGUUCCUUUGAUGUUCCGCCCUUGAUGUUCAUUUUAUGCAGCUUUCAACUGGUAAAAAAGUUUAAGGCAAGGAAAAAGUCUGGAAGAAAAUUUAUAGCUCCUAAAAUUGUUAGCAUGUAAAAGAGCUGUUCGUUGGUCCUAAAUCCUAAAAGCGUGGCUCUGUAUAUCUUGUAUAAAACCUAUGUGGGUUGGCACUUGGAGGGAUGUAUGCAAUUUUAGUCAUUACACUGCUUAAGGAAGGACCUAUAAAGGACACAUAGAAAGAGGCAAACUAAAUUAUUAAGAGGAACCUACAUUUGAGCAUGAGCUCAAAGGAGGUGGACUCCAGCAUGGAAAGACCAAAGCUCUAAGAAUAAAUAAGUACAUGCUAUGAAUUCAUGAAGGGCAUAGAAAAGAUGCCUGUAAAUAAACUUAUUCACCAGAUUUCAAUAGAAUCAAAUAAGAGGGGCACCCAUGGGGUUUCAAAAGGGUCAAAGUUGUACAAAUAUUAAGUGUAAGUGGCUUUAAACGAUGGUGGCAAACAUGAAAUUUAAACUAAUUUUUAUGUUUUAGAGACACAAUCUUGGACUUAAUAAAAAGAGCUUUAAAAGGUAUAUUGGGGACAAUUGGUAAAAUUUACAGGUAAGUCACAUAUUAAAUGGCACCAUUUAACCGAAUGGUGGUGUUGUGCUUAUUUAGGAGAAUGUCCAUAUUCAUUCAAGAUGCACAGUGAAGUGUUGGGGGAAACAUGGCUGGAUUUUGUAGCUGACUUUCAAAUGAAUUAGAAAAAACAUCUAUAAAUAUAUAAGAGAGAAUGACAGAGCAAUUGUAGCACAAUACAGUCAUGCGCUGCAUAAUGACAUUUCAGUUAACAAUGGAUUGCCUAUCUCGACGGUGGUCUCAUAAGAUUAUAAUGGAGCUGAAAAGUUUCUAUUGUCCAGUAUUUAUUAUGCUAUGCUAUGCUAUGCUAUGCUAUGCUAUGCUAUGCUAUGCUAUGCUAUGCUAUACUAUACUAUACUUUAUUUAUUUAUUUAUUUUUUGGAGACAAAAUUUCGCUCUUGUUGCCCAGGCACAAUUUUGGCUCACUGCAACCUUCAAUUCCCCGGUUCAAGCAAUUCUUCUGCCUCAGCUUCCUGAGUAGCUGAGAUUAUAGGUGUGCACCACCACACCCAGCUAAUUUUUGUGUUUUUAGUAGAGACGGGGUUUCACCAUGUUGGUCAGGCUUGUCUCGUUUAUCUAUUUAUUUUUGAGACAGGGUCUUUCUCUGUUGCCCAGUCUGGAGUGCAGUGGCAUGAUCGUGACUCACUGUAACCUCAAACUCCUGGGCUCAAGGAAUCCUCCCGUCUCAGCCUCCCAAGUAGCUGGGACUUCAGGUGUGUACCAUCACACUUGGCUAAUUAAAAUGAUUUUUUUUUGUACAGACAGGGGUCUUACUAUGUUGCUAGGGUCAUCUUGAACUCCAGGCCUCAAGUAAUCCUCCCACCUCAGCUUCUCAGAGUCCUAGAAUUAGCACUCUGAGUACCUAGCAUGGAAUUUAUUACCUUUAGAAGUAGCACUGUUUGAAAAUAUAAAAUCCUUUAAGAAUUUGGAUAUGUUCAUGAGUGAUGGGUCAAGAGUAAUGGGUCAGAUAUGUUCGUGAGUGAUGGGUCAGAGACUUGAAGAUGCUUUUGAUACAGCCCUACCCACAGAGAACAAUCACACCCACCCUUGAUGCAUCUACUGGAGACCGAGUGUUAGACAAGGGUCCAGAUGGCUCAUGGGCAGGUCUAGGACAGGUCUCAGCAAUGUUUUGAGAAUAAAACAAGGAAGAUCUGCUGAAUGUUUAAGUUUUUUUUUUUUUUUUGACAAGGAUAGCCUUUAAUAUCAUAAAUGGAUAAUUAAGGGAAUAAAUGAAGGAAUGAGUAGAUGAUAAUGAGUAGGAGGCUUUUGGUAACUUUUUUUUUUUUUUUUUGAGACGGAGUCUCGCUCUGUCACCAGGCUGGAGUGCAGUGGCGCGAUCUUGGCUCACUGCAACCUCCACCUCCCGGGUUCAAGCGAUUCUCCUGCCUCAGCCUCCUGAGUAGCUGGGACUACAGGCACGUGCCACCACACCCAGCUAAUUUUUGUAUUUUUGGUAGAAAUGGAGUUUCACCAUGUUGGCCCGGAUGGUCUCUAUCUCUUGACCUCGUGAUCUGCCCAUCUUGGCCUCCCAAAGUGUGGGAUUACAGGUGUGAGCCACUGUGUCCGGCUGUAACUUUUUAUUUUUAAAUAGUUAUAGACUCACAGAAAGAGGCCAUGAGUACAGGGUCACAUAUACCCUCCCCUCAGCCUCCCCGAGCAGUGACAUCUUAUAAAGCUGUGAUAAAAUAGCAAAACCAGGGAGUUGGCACUGGUAGUGUUGAACGAUACUGCAGAUUUUAUUCUGUUCUCAGCAUUUUUUAAGCUUGCAUUUGUGUGUAUGUAAUGUUAUCCCAUGUAUAGAUUAAUGUAACCACCACCCCAAUAAAGAUACAGAACUGUUCCAUCACAGUAAAAGAAUUCCAUUCAGGCCGGGCGCGGUGGCUCAUGCCUAAAAUCCCAGCACUUUGGGAAGCCGAGGUGGGUGGACCAUUUGAGGUCAGGAGUUUGAGACCAGCUUGGCUAAACUGGUGAGACCCCGUCUCUACUAAAAAUACAAAAAUUAGCCAGGUGUGGUGGCACACACCUGUAAAUCCCAGCUACUCCAGAGACUGAGGUAGGAGAAUCGCCUGAACCGGGGAGGCAGAGGUUGCAGUGAGCCUAGACCAUGCCACCACACUCCAGCAUGGGUGACAGAGUGAGACUGUGUCUUAAAAAAAAAAAAAUAGAAUUCCAUUCUAUCUGUUUGUAUUCCUCCCCCCUCAUCCUCCUGCUCCCUGGCAACCACUAAUCUGUGCUCUUUCUGUCAUCGUUUUGAGAAUGUUGGAUAAGUGGAAACAGAUCCGAAAGGUAUGUAACCUUCUGAGACUGGCUUUUUUCACUAAGCAUAAUGCCUGAAGUCCAUCCAGGUUGUUGCAUGUACCAAGAGUUCAUUUGCUUUUGUUGCUAAGCAGUAUUCCAUUGUAUGGAGGUACCACAGUUUGUUCCAUCCUUUGCCUAUUGGACAUUUGCUUUUUUUUCCCUCGAGUAUUUUGCCAUUAUGAAUACAGCCACUACGAAUAUUUAUAUGCAGGUUUUUGUGUAAAUAUAAGUUUUGAUUUCUCUGGGAUAAAUGCCAGGAGUAUGACCGUUGGGUCAUAUGGUAAGUGUUUAAUUUUGUAAGAAACUGCCAAACUGUUUUCCAUGGUGGCUGUACCAUUUUACAUGUCCACAGGCAAUGUAUAAGAGAUCUAGUUUCUCUGCAUCCUUACCAGCAUUUGAUAUUAUCACUAUUUAAAAUUUUAGCUAUUCUAAGUGGUGUGUAGGCAUAUAUUUUUGUGGUUUUAAUUUGCAGUUUCCUAAUGACUAAUGAUAUUGAAAAACUUUUCUUGCUUAUUUGCCAUCUGCCUAUCCUUUUUGGUGAAAUAUCAGUUCAUGUCUUUCAGCCAUGUUUAAUUUUUUUUUUACUGUUGAGUUUUGAAAGUUCUUUAUAUAUUCUAGAAGAUGCAAAAUGUUUGUCAGAUAUUGGCUUGCAAAUAUUUUCUCCCAGUCUGCAGGUUGUCUUUUCACCCUCUAAACAGAGUCUUUCACAGCAUGAAACAAAUGGAGGCUUUAAAUGGCCAUUUCAGAAAAGCCUGACCUAGCCUUGAGAGCGUCGGACACGGUCACUCCACCGGUUCCCGCUCACGAGGGCAGAUCACGGGUUUAAAUCCCAUUUGGGUGUGCUAAUUCAGCUUCACAAUAGCUCACCCACCAUGGGCUUAACGCUAUUCAGUGGCCACAGGUGAGUGUGUUUCAGGACAUCACAAAAAGAUAAGCUGAGAAAGAGUGGCCCACGGCUGCCAGAACAGCUUGAGGGCAAGUCCCCACUGACCCAGAAAGUGAGUCAGUUGCAUCACCCCCUUGGAAACCUGGAAAAUGCAUCAUCAUCGGUGUAGAGCGAGAGCCAGCAUUCAAAACGCCAGGGGGCUUAUCAGGCCAUUUCACCACAACAUAAAGUAACAGGCAGACUUGAAUUCAUCUGGCACUGUUGACCAACACAGAGAGCCAAAACACACACGGAAUUCAAAAUCAGAAAUAACCCCAAGUUUGAGUCAUCCAAUGUGCUUGUCUACAUUGAUUGCACUCACCAGAUAAAAGUCCAAUGCACUCUGUGGGGUGAAACAGCCUCUGCCUCAGGUUGGGAGUUGCUGCCAUGGAGACCACAAGAGUGGAGAUUUUCUGACACACAGAAAGGAAUGGAUUACAGCUCCUUCUUAUGUAAAUUUCCAUGGAGGGGAAAAAAGAUUAAAAGGAAAAUAAUUCUGCUUUAGUCGUUUUCCUUUAAGGUGAUAAGAUCCUUUGAUUCCAUCGUGGAGAAGAAGGCAACAGCUGUUUGUCACAAAUGAUGGGAAAUGUGCCAACAUCACAACAAGGUUUGAGGGAGGCACAUCUCAUGCUCGGACAUGAACACCGGAUCAUCAUGCUUAUGAACUACAAAAGGAUCUCCAGUAUGGGCUCACGGCAGUUGGCCCUUGAAUAACAUGAAUUUGAACUGCCUGAGUCUGCUAAUAUGUGGAUUAUCUUCUGCUUCUGCCACCCCGAGACAGCAAGACCAACCCUUCCUCUUGCUUCUUUUCCUUAGCCUAUUCAACGUGAAGAUGACUAAGGGACAUGGAUGAAGCUGGAGACCAUCAUUCUCAGCAAACUAACACAAGAACAGAAAACCAAACACCACAUGUUCUCACUGGUGAGGACACAAUAGGAUGACCAUCAGCAAACCAGGAAUGAUGCCCUCAACAGACAUCUGAUCUGCUGACACCUUGAUCUUGGACUUCUAAUUCUGCAGAACUUUCACAGAGUUUGAGAGGAACUGUAUUCAAGUUGCUGAAACCAAGAAGCUACACUCAUGAGUCUCACCUAAACUCGAAUCUGAUUUAGAUGACAUCAUCCUGGACUUUGAGUUGAUGAAAUCUUGGAGGUCUUGGGAGUAAAGUAAGUGUGAUUUGCAUAUGAUGGAUAUGAAUUGUAAUGGCCAGAGCAUGGCUGUGGUAGGUAACGUCUAGAGAUGGCCACCAUUUUUUUUUUUCCUCUAUCCGCACAUACUACUUCUCUUGUACUCUUGAAACUGGGAUGAAAUUAGCAACUUUGUUAACCAAUAUAAUGCCAGAGAAGUGACUUUUGUGACUUGUGAGGUUAGAUCUUAAGAAGUCUUGUAUCUUCUUUCUGGAUCACUUCGGAACCAAGCCACUGUUCUAUGAGAAGUGCAAGUCACAUGGAGAAACCAUGUGUUGGCAAGCUAGUCUGCAUCUUCAGGUGAGCUGCCAGCCAAUAACCAGCCUUAAUUUCCAGUUAAGUGAAUGGCUGGAUGUCUAACUCAGUUAAGACUUCUGAUUAUUGCAGCCUCAGGUUACCCCUGACUGCAACUGCACAAGUGGUCCAGAUGAGAUCAAUCUCACAACUAUGGGAGACAAUAAUGCUAUUUUGUGUUAAUCACUAAGUAUUAGUUUGUUACACAAAACAGAUAUUAAGAUUAAGAUAUUUAUGUCUCCAGAUAAUAGACCCAGGAGCUUACUUAUGUCUAUUCCCCUUUAAAGUCCUUUUUUUUUUUUUAACUCACAGCUGGAAUAAUUAUGCCAGAGCAAGGCAGCUUAGGUAGCAGCAUUUGGCUUCUGAUGAUUCUUUCCUCAGUGGAUGCAGGAUGCUGUCAUCUUAGGAACUUGAAAAAAAAGCAUACUGUUUCUUGAACUUUAAUUAGUCAUGCUAAUUGUAAUAAAAUUUUUGCUGGAAUAAAAAAAGGGCAGCGUGUCUGAAGUAAGCCAAAAAAAAAAAAAUCCAUGUAUGCACAGUAGUUGUAGAGAUCUGCCCCAGUUAGUUGUAACCAUUAAAUAACUGCUAGGAAAAAUACAUGGCCUUGGAAAGUGUUUCCUUGGCAGUAGUGGAAGGGCAGGAACAGAUCUGUAUAAACACAUUUUUGUUACAAGCUAGAGGCAAUUUUAGAGUUUGAUGGAUAAGAAUGACAUUAGAUAAAGCAUAUUGUAUUGCACUGGGAAUAGCUCAUUAACAAGCAGUUAACUUUGUGCGUGUUUACACUCAUAUUUGUCAUGUUCACUGCUGUAUCCUCAGCAACUAAAACAGUAACUGGCACUUUAGAGAGACACAAUAAUUAUACGACGAAUUAAUAAAUUCCAUUUGUUUUGUUUAACAAAGUCUUUUGAUUUAAUAUUCAGCUGUACUUAGAUCAAUGGGUCUAAAAUAGCUCAAAUUUUCUUUGAAAAUAAAUACAUUUCUUCUGGUGUAAAUGUAGUCCUCUUAAUGGUCUAUAUGUGAAUUAUUGAGUUCAAUUUUAGAAAUUGACUCUUGUUUUCCUUCAAUAUGCUUCUAGUACCUGUUCUUUACCUCUUUCAUCCCCGAGACUAAUGAUAAAUUUUUGUUUGUUCGGGUAACAGAAACACAGUUUCUUAAUAUUAAUAACAGAUUUCCAGUAUGUAUUAUGUGUCAGCCACUGUACUUAGCUCAACUAAGCUCCGUGAUAACUUUUGAUGUACAGACUAUUAUUAUCCUACUGGUAGAGAUGAGGAAAAAACUAUAGAGGAGUGAGUCUUUGCUUGAGAUUAUAGUGAUUUUAAGAGGUGGCACCAAAAUGAGAGUCCAGAACAAGUGGUAAAACCCAAGGGGCACUUAUUUCCUAUUGCCUGAUUUUUAAAGUUGCUAGGGUCUAACUAUGAAUCUUUGUAUUGGAUAACUAUUUUGGGGGUUAGGGGAGUGAUAAUUAUUUAUGGUUCUGACUGCUCAUUUUGUGUUUGGAACAAAUUAAUAAAAAGAUACAAGAGUCACAGAGAUAGAGAUUUAUAAAUGUUAGCUCUAUAAUUGGUAAAACUGAAUUGUAGAAUACUCCUUGGAUUCACCAAGAAGAUGGAGCCUUCCAUUGUUACCUCCUUAAUUCUAGACAUAGAGUUAACCCAGUAGAAGGAGUUGAGUUCUGCAGAGAAGACAAGCAGGAACAGCACCUUAAAUUUAGUACAGAAACUCCAAUAUUGUAAUCACAGAAAUAAAAUGCUCAGCAGAUGAGCCCUAACCCAUGAGUUCUUACAUUCCAGUGUAAAGUCCAGAACCAAAUUCAUUAGUUUCAUGAAUAGGUAGAUUUCACAACAGAAGGGAAAAGGCUGCUGAGCUAGACAUGUUCAUAUUUGUCUGCCAGGCUCACCAAUCAGGUUUUAAGUUGGCCCUCUUCCCUUGGGUAGGAGAGAGCAAGGUAUUAUAUAUGUGAACAGAAGCUUUUUGUCUGUUACAUUUUCAGAGAUGAAAACUCCCAUUUUAGGGAACCAAGACUGAAUUCCAUGAUUUACAUGGAUGUUUGGAAGGUGUCUGCAACUUAAUCUGUGUUCGUUUCUGAGAUGUUGGGCAACUCCUUCUUGGAAGAUGUGGUAAUGGUCUCUUUGAAAAGAAAAUAAUCAUCUGAGUUUUGGCUGAAAUAGUUGAUCAGAUUACCUAUGAAAAUGACUCUCACCCAACUACAAGAAUGUUAUGAUGUAGAAACUCUAAAUAUAUGAGUAAUUAACUAUACAACACUCCAUUCCCAUGUGAAAAUCUUUAAUCUUUUAAGAUACUGAAAUUUUGCGUAUGUCUCAUAAUUUUCUGUAUAUGGUCAAUGAGUUUUGCCUUAGCCAUAAGUGGUCUGUCUGAAAUCUUCUCUAUUAUUUGUGGAUUUUCUUCCUGAUGUACCAAGCCUAGUCUGUUUGUUUUUUCCUAAGAGAAAAGCAGAUGAUUCAACUGUGUAUUUCUCAGUGUUGAUAUUGUGGUUCUGAGGUAUUUCAUAAUCUUGAGUAAAAUCUUGUCAAUUUUAUGCUAUGCCUUGUGGGAACAUAUUUUUACUUUUAAGUCUCUUUGGCAAAGUGGAGCUUCCUUUGUGUUUCCUCGCCAAAUGUAUUACCCAUUGUUUUCUGAUUAAUUCUUUUUCAGAAUGUUUACUCCUUCUUACCUCAAUGUCAUUACUUUUCAGUCUUGGCUUUGGGUAAACCUAGGACAAGAAUUGGAUAUCCAAAGCCAAUUUCAAUAUAAAAACUAUAAUAUCUAUCAAAAUCUAUGUAAAAUCCUGUGUAUAUUUCUCUUCUUUGUUGAACAGGGGCUUAUAAUCAUGUAGGUAAAUACACGUGGUUUUGAUUUCAGCACUGAUUACUGAAGAUUUGUCUUCCAUUCUUCUGGGCCAGGCCCAUACACAACCAUAGUUAGAAGUAAAAACUAUUUGUUAUACCUGGAAUGCCUUUCCUUUCAAUCUCUGAAUGUCUAAAAUUACUUUUUCUUUGAAGACCACCUCAGGUGACCCUACUGUGGGGAAAAUGCCUGAAUUAUCUUUGUAAUCCCAGCUCAGCCACUUAAAGAUUGUGUAAGUUUAGUGUCAGCAUAUUACUUAAGUUCUUUUAGAUUUAGUUUCCUCAUAUGUAAGCUGGGGAUAAUAAUACCUACCUCAUAGAAAAUGAAUGAGAAUCAAGUUAUAUAAUAUAUGAACAACACUUGACACUGUGUGUGAACACUCAAUACAUGUAAAUCAUUAUUAUUAGCAAAAUGAUUAUUAGGUUCUCAUGCUAAUCCACAAUUUUUACUGGCAGAUAUCCAUUAGUUUAUAGUUAAUGUUAUUCAUAAUCUUUUCUUCAUAUUCAAAUAGGAAGAGAUGACUUCUCAAUCUAGUUAAUCCUGGAUGUGUAUUUCUCUUUUUAUUGAGUGUAAAAUGCUUAUUUAUAUACAUACAAUUUCCCUUGUUAGUGAACAUCUAGAAGGCAGAAUGGUACUUCAUUUCUUUCUGUAUGUUUAGCACCAAGGACAGUACCUGGCACAUAGAAGAUACAUAUUAAAGACAAAUAAAACAACUCUUAAUGGAUCUCAUUUUAAAAAAAUUCUCAGUUAAUUAUAAAGGCUCUAGUAAACCAAAUAAUUGUAUGUUAACUUAUUUACUUUUAUUACUGUGUUUAUUUUCUCCAACUGCUUCAUCAUACAAAGUAAACACCUGAAUGUAAGCUGCAUGAGGGCAAGAGCUGUGUCUUGUUUACUGCUCUCAAGAACAUUUGAGCAAAGUGCCUGGCACAUGGCAGACACUCAAUAAGUUACAGUUAAUACUCAAUGUAUGAACUGAUCUAUACUUAGAAUUGACUAAGAAGAAUAAGUCUUACACAGACUCAGUCUCUGAGAACUUGACAAUCUAAGUUUGCAUAUCUCUGCUGAUAUGUUUUCAGGUUACUCAGUAGAAAACCAAGUUAUUUACACAUCCUCAAGUGUCUCAAGGUUAAAUCUUCCAUGCAUAAAAUAUCUGGGCGAUUGAUUGUGUUUCUUACUUUGCUCCUAAGUAUAUUAGCAUCAUAUAGGCAUAGCCUAAGCCAGACCAAAAUGAAUUCAUUGAUUGACUCAACAAAUGUUUAUGGAUCUCAGAUAUUAUAUGGAGAUGGUGUCAAACAACGGGAUGUGCUGUGGAAUUUGAUGUGGAGGCUGAAGGAAAGAGGAAUCUAGGCGGACUCACAGAUUUUUUGGCUUGAGUAACUUGGACAUUAUGGUGAGUUAUUGAACGGAAGUCUAGGGAUUGUUCAACCCCUGAAAACAGACCACAUCCCAUUGCACGAGGAAAUUUGGGUAAGGUUCUGCCUUUUCUCAUAAAAUCAGACUCUGAUCUAAUUUCUUUCACAAUUAAGCUUACCUAAAAUAUGUUCACACUGAAAGUUAAUGCAUUUUUGUCUGUCAGCAUUUGGUGUUGCCUUGGUGACAGUGUACAGACCAAUUGUUAAGAGCUUUUUUUGAAGCAACUUUGCCAGUUCUUUCAUCGUAGUGCAUAUGCAGCAUUAUAUGUUCAUUGUUAUUUGCUUCAUUUUCUACAACUGGAAAUAAUGUAUUUUGAAGCAGCAUAAGAGAGUAUAUUUGAAGAUUCCUCUUGUACUUUGAUAUAGUCAUUAAGAAAGCUUUUAAAGGAGUAAUACUUGGCAUUCGAAAUGUGAAACCAAAAUACUUCAAAUGGCAUUCGAAUUAAAAUUUAAAAAUAUAUAAGUGAAAGAAAAUAUCAAGUUUAUUUCGGGAAUUAUAAAUCAUAGUCCAUGUGAUAAACAUGUGGGAACUGAUUCUUGUUGCUUAACACAGCUGAGAAAACAAUUUAAUGUCAACCUACUGACAAAUAAAACUGCCAUAGCAUCAUUAUUGUUUUAAGAAACCACAUUGGAAGCCAAAUAUUUCAAAGUUAAGAUGUAUGCUAUGUAUUUUGUCAGUAUAGUUUGCUUAUUACUGAGUGAAAGAAGGCAAAUCAUUUUACUUGGUCUAAUGGUCAACAGAGGUGAGAUUAUAGGAUUAUGGGAUACUAUAGUGGAAUGGUAAGUUGGCAGUCCUCUGGUUACCUAACAGGAAAACCGAAGCUCAGAGAGGUCAAGACACUUGCUCAAGGAGGUGAGUCCCAACCCCCCACUUUUAUUAUCUCCCCUAACUUCAGGUCAAAAUUCUAGAGAGUACACAGUUAAGAAUCUAUGCUUACAUGGAGCAGGGUGGUACCUUUCUACUCCGGCAUCUGUUGAAGAAAAUCGAGCUUGAAUGUGUAUGAAACAGAAUUUUCUUUAUGAAGCAUAGAAAUUAUUUCUUGGAGAAACAGCAGUUAAUAUCUCUUGGAUACCUUUAAAAAAUGCUCCCUUUUAAAUAUUUGUCCUGUUCAUGAAAUAAUUAAUAAGAACUUGCUAUUAGGAUUUUAUUUUUUUCUGAGCACAGAGAAGCUAAAAUAUGGGGCUAUUUAUCUCAGUGACAGGGUAACAAAUUUCUAAAAGUUAUUUUGGGUAUAUAUAUAUAUAUAUAUAUGUCUAUUUAGCUAAAGAUGUGGUACACCAAAACAUGAUUUGCAAGCUUAAUUUAUUCUAAAGGGGCUUAUUGUGAUAAGUGAGUUAGCAGCAUUGUAUUAGGAAAACUGGCAAUAUUAUGAUCACAUACCCAGGCACAGAGUGGAAACAGAAUGAAGGGAUUUGCAGUGAAGAAUGAUGCAAAACCUACCAAGACAGGAACUUUCAUAAAUUAAGACUCAUUAACUAGAAAGAAGAGUUGAGGCCAUGCUCCCGUCAGAAAAUGUCAUGCCAUAGAUAUUUUUCAUAGCGCUUCCGAGUCUCUCAUCUGAGCACAUCCCACUGGAGUCUUUGUUCAUGUAUAUAUCCCAAGGUAGAUGGUUGGCAAUUGGGAUGAUUCCCUUUGCCAUAACCUCUCAUCUAUGAAGUUUGGGCAGGGUUUUACCAGAGCUUAAAACCUUAAAGCAGCCACAGAACAUUUUGAGUUACUACUCAACAGUGCUCCUAAAUACAUCCUAAGAUAACAUAAAGUAUGAGUCUAGGUAAUAGAGGUACCUCAUUUUGUAUUAAACCAAAGUCAUAGGCAUUUGUUAUUAAUUUGAAGUCUUUUGGUUUCACAUCUUAAAUGUUGUGAAAACAGUUAAUCUUUCACUUUUUUAAAACAAAUAUCUGGGUAUCUACUACAUACCAGAAAAGUCAGACACCAGUGAUAAUAAUAAUACCUGACUUUAUUGCCUGUUACGUGCCAAUUCCUCUUGUAAAUGAUUUGCAUGCCGUAGCUUACAUAAACCUCACAACAACUCUGUGUGUUAGGUGUCAUCAUUACCUCCAUUUUGCAUAUGAGGAUUUCAAGGCGAAGAGUGGUUGGCUAACUCUCCCAAGGACACAAAGCUAGAGACAAUGGAUCUGGAUGUGAAAGGCAGUGCAGUGUUGUUUCAGAGUAUGUGCUCUUGCCCCAUAUGCUAUUCUGCUUCUCCAACAAAUGGUGAAAUGACUCAGGCCUCUGCGUUCAAAGAGCUUACUUUUAAAAAAAAAAAAUUUAUGUUCCAGGAUACAUGUGCAGAACAUGCAGGUUUGUUACAUAGGUAUACAUUGCCAUGGUGGUUUGCUGUACCUAUCAACCCAUCAUCUAGGUUUUAAGCCCUGCAUGCAUUACUAUUUGUCCAAAUGCUCUCCCUCCCCUUGCCCCCCACCCCACAACAGGCCCCAGUGUGUAAUGUUCCCCUCCCUGUGUCCGUAUGAAGAACUUACAUUUUAAUAAGAUAAAAAGAUGAUCACAUAAAUAGUGUAAUAAGUGUUGUAUUAGAAGUAGAGGACUCCAAAGGAACACAGAGGGGACACCCAGCCCAGUCUUGGUCCAUUAGGGAAAAGUCCUUGGAAUGAUAUGUUAGCAGAACCCUAAACUUUAGGUUACCUUCCAAAGUUCUCUAUCACUAACUUGAGUCACAGGCUCAUAGAAUCUUAGAAAAUAUUUAUGUCAGCACCUUCAGUAUACAGAUGAAGCAAACGAGGGCUCAGGCAAGUUAUUUGGCUAGUAGCUGAUAGAGAUUUAGCAAGAAUGCAAGGAUCCAGACACCCUUAUGCUUUUUUUAAAUUAUUAUAUCACAUAUUUAGUCAGUGUCUUAAAAAUAAAUUAAUAAUAGUCUUAUCUUGAUUGAAGAUAAAAUAGUCUUCCUCCUUCUUCUGCCUUUUAUAGAACUUUUCACUUUUUUUGAUGUCAUGUGAACGUCAAUCAAGAUAUGAAUUCUUUAUGUAGAUUAAGUGAUUUUACAAAGUAAAGAGAAAAAAAUCUUACUGCUUAUGAACCCUGCUGAGUAUACAUUAAUGUAUUUUGAGGUGAGUCACAAGUAGGCCACCAUUAACAUAGAUUUUUGGUACAUUAGAAUUCUAGCUUUAUUACUUAUUAGCCAGUAAACUUGGGCAACUUACCUUUUCUAGGCCUCAGUUUCUAAUCUGUAAAAUAGGAAAAAUAAAUAAUAAUCCCUCCUGUGCAUCAGCAUUUUGAAUCCAAGUUGCACUAAAUUUUUAAUCUUUCAGUUGGUAAUUACCCAAAGUUCUCUCUCUCUCUCUCUGUUUAUAUUAUCUUUCUGUAUUGGAUGUGACUGUCUCCAAAAUUUAAAUAAUAGUUAAUGAUAGUGGUUGUAGUGGAAAAUUUGACUAAUUCUUGAAAGCAUAGGAACACUUAGUAAGUAUUACGUUGGUUGUUCAUUUGAAAUAGACAUUCUUCAGCAUGAUAAAGAAGGAUUUUUUUAUUCUUAGAUUCUAAGACUUCUUUUUUUUAAGUAUAUAUGUAUAGAAUUGAUUGUUUAACUUUAUCAAAUGUCAGUAAUCAAGGUGCUCAUAUGGUUUAUUUCCUUUGGUCUACAGAUGUGAUAAAUUUGGAUAUAUUUUAAAAUAUUAAGCUCUCCUUGCACUCCUGGUUGAUCAUGAUGCAUUUUUCUUUUAAUAUUUUUCUUAAUUUAAUUUUAAUUGAUAAGUAAAAUUAUAUAUAUUUGUAGUAUGCCAAAUGAUAUUUUGAUAUGACAAAUGUCUCUCUUACAGAUUUUCUGUUAACUAGAUAAUAUAACUGAUGUUUCUACCACGAUUUUGAUUGAAAACAGAUGCAUGUUUAUUUAUAUUCUUCACUGUGGAUUUUCAUUUGAGGUCCAUGUAUCUCUUAAAGUAUAUGGAUUGGGUUAGAGAGUUCUUAACUGCCUAAUAUUGUGCAUUUUUAGAGAGAGAAGGCUCGUGGUUUUCUUAGUGUCUUCAGAGGAUGUCCAUGAUCCCCACGUUUUAAGAACUACUUUGUAUUCUACAAAAUAAACUCAAAGCUGCUAUCUCUUGAAACUGGUGUCUCUGUUCUUCCCCCUUGCUGAUCAGAACUUCUCACUAUUUUGCACUUUCCUGACUACACAUUAGUGGUAGGAAAUUUUCUCGAUUUUCUCUCUAGAAAAUAACUUUCAGGUUAUGUAUAACCAGAAAAGGUCUCUUGUUAACUGAACCAACCAACCGGUGAAGCAACAAACCACCAGCUAGAAAGACAGUUGACAGACAAUCAAACUCUACUGAAGUAAGCCUGUGGAAAUCAUGAGGUCUGUGGCAAUGUCUCUUCUGAUUUGUUUGACUAGAUCCAGGAGCUGUACCUAGAUGUAGAGGAGCUGAUUUUUUCGGACAAACAAGCUUUACAAUUGAGAACAGAAAAGUAGUUGAGGCCUUGUGUCCAUCCAUUUUAGACUGAAAAAAAAAAAAGCAAUGACCAGGUGAAGCCUACUGUCCAGUUGCAGGAAAGGGUUGAGUUGCACACUGUGGCUUCUCUGGCAUUAAGUGGUGUUAGAGACAGAGAGGCUCACACAGAAGGUAGAUCAUCUGUGUUGUCCCAUGGCCUGACUAUGCAAAUGGAAACUAACAUUUGGAACCAAGAAUAUUUGAAAAUGAGCAGUGCAAAAAACAAAAGAAAGAAGGAAGGAAGGGAGAGAGGGAGGCAGGGAGGGAAAAAAGAAAGAAAGAAAAUCAAUCAAUCAAUCCCAUUAGAUAAGUUAGUGUCACGUAGAUGUGUGUUUCCCUUUAAUUGAUUCCAUUUGGUCCCAUAAGCCAGAAGCACUCUGUCUUAUCUGAAGUCAGAUAAGACUUGGAUGAAUGUGCUCCUAGGAACUCUUGCCUGUCUGCCUUCUUAAACUGGUAACUCUCUUAUCCAGGGCGUCCAUCAUCCUAUAGUCUUCUAUUUCCUUCUUCAUCUUACACAUAGUCUUAAGGUCCUCUACUUAAAGUCUGUUGCCUCACAAUGACCAGGGUCCUCCCCACUAGAAAAGAAGAAAGUAGGCUAAUUUCUGCUCUUGAAUUUGAAAUGUUUCCUAAUGGCAUUCCCAUUUUUGGAUGGCAUAUUGUUGUCUGUGUCUAAGCAACCUGACUUCUUCUAGUCACUGAAGUGGUCAAAAGGGCUUGGCUUGGGCCUUGAAUAAUUAAUUUCUACCUCCAAGAUAAAAAUAUUAUUUGCAGUUUAAAAAGUUAUAAUUGGGGGGUUAGCUUGUGUAGAACAAUAUCUAGUGAUUUUUAAGAUUCUCAAGUUAAAAUGUCUUAUUGAUUCAAAUUUGAUGCUUGCUUUAAGCCUUCUUGCAUAGGGAUUUAAAAUAAUUUCCCAACUACAUAGUGUGUGUUUUUCAGAUUUUAACAUUUUCUCUCUAAAGACAAUUGCAGUUAAAUUUGGGAAAGUUGUGGCAAUGCUUAUUGGCAAAGUCAUCUGUCUCCUAAUAUUGUAAUCUGUCUCCUAAUAUUGGUCAUCUGUCUCCUAAUUAGGAGUCAUUAGGAGUCAUCUGUCUCCUAAUAUUGGUAGCCUGAAUAACUACAUUCUAAACAGCAUGUUUUUUGUUUGUUUGUUUUUACUGGCACACACUUUCAUUGUAUAGGGGUGGUAUAUGGAUCAUCUCCUAUAUUUUUUUAAUGAGCCCAGACUCAAACUCUAAUCCAGGCAAUAGAAUUCCAAAUAAGUAGUGAUAGUGAAAUCUACUAUUUGCCUUAACAUCUAAUCUUCCUUUGCAAUUUAUUUAUUUAUUUAUUUGGUUUGGGGAGGCAGGUAAACUUAAUACCUGAAGGCCCCAUCAGGUUAUGUGGAUGGCCCCUGAGUAAGAUUAUAGGGAACUUUAGGGAUUAAGGAAACUGAAGAGAAUUUUGUUCCCAGAGAGCAGCUAAUACUCACUUCCAGACAACUGUGCUAUACAGGAAUAUGGUGCCAGUGUUGCUAGAAUGUCUGAUUUUUUAAUAGAAGGCUGAAAUACACAUUUUAUAUGAAAUAUUCUGAUUUUUAAAAUAUUCUUUUUUUCACUUACAAAUUAUAUUUUAUUUUUAACUGAGAGAUAAUAAUUGCAUAUAUUCAUAGGGUGCAAUGUGAUGUUGUGGGACAUGUAUAUGUUGCAGAAUGAUUAAAUUAGGCUAACUAACAUAUCCAUUACCUCACAUACUUUUCUUCGUGGUGAUAACAUUUAAAAUCUUUUAGUAAUUUUGAAAUAUACAGUAUGUUAUUAUUAACAAUAGUCAGCAAGCUGUGCAAUAGAUUACUAAAACUUAUUCCUCCUGCCUAACUGAAACUCUGCACCCUUUGAUCAACAUCUCCUGUUUUCCUAUCCCUCCUCCUGCAGUUUCUGUAACCACCAUUCUACUCUCCAAUUCUAUGAGUUUGACUUUUUUCGAUUCUACAUGUAAGUGAGACCAUAUGGUAUUUGUCUUUCUGUGCCUGGCUUAUUUUAUUUAGCAUAAUGUCUUCUGGGUUCAUGCAUGUUAUUGCAAGUUUUCUUCUUUUUAAGGCAGAAUAGUAUUCCAUGAGGUAUGCACACAACAUUUUCUUUAUCCACUCAUCCGUUGAUGGACACUUAGGUUAUUUCCAUAUUUUGGCUAUUGUGAAUAAUGCUGCAGUGGACAUAGGAAUGCAGUUAUUUCCUUGACAUACUGAUUUCAAUUCCUUUGGAUAUAUACCCAGAAGUGGGAUUGCUGGAUCAUAUGGUAGUUCUGUUUUUAGUUUGUUUGAGGAGCCUUCAUACUGUUUUUCAAAAUGGCUAUACUAAUUUACAUUUCUGCCGACAGUGUGCAAGCGCUCCCUCUUUUUCACAUUCUCUCCAACGCUUACCUUUUGUGCUUUCGAUAAUAGCCAUUUUAACAAGUGCGAAUUGAUAGCUCAUUUGGUUUUAAUUUGCAUUUCCUUAAUAAUUAGUGAAGGUGAACAUUUUUCAUUUACCUGUUAGCCAUUUUUACAUCUUCGUUUGAGAAAUAUCUAUUCAGUUUCUUUGCCCACUUUAUUUUUUAAAUUUUAAUCUCUAUUUUUUAACUUUUAGGUUUGGUGGUACAUGUGAAUGUUUGUUACACAGGUAAACGUGUCACGGGGGGGUUGUUGUACAGAUUAUUUAAUCAUCCAGGUAAUAUGCCCAGUCCCCAAUAGUUAUCUUUUCUGCUGUCCUCCCUCCUCCCACCCUCCACCCUCAAGAAGACCCCAGUGUGUGUUGUUUUCUUCUUUGUGUUCAUAAGCUCUCAUCAUUUAGCUUCCACUUACAAGUGAGAACAUGAGGUGUUUGAUUUUCUGUUCCUGCGUUAGUUUGCUAAGGAUAAUGGCCUCCAGCUCCAUCCAAGUUCCCGUAAAAGAUAUGAUCUCAUCCUUUUUUAUUUUGCCCAUUUUUAAAUCAGGCUAUUUGUUUUCUUGUUAUUGAGUAGUUUGAGUUCCUUAUAUAUUUUGGACAUUAGCUCCUAAUCACAUAUAUGAUUUGCAAACAUUUUCUCUCAAUUGGAGGGGGGGUUCUGUCUUCACUCUCUUAAUGUUUUCCUUUGCUAUACAGAAGCUUUUUAGUUUGAUAUCAUCCCACUGUUCUAUUUUCGCUUUUUUAUUGCAUUAUAUUUAAGGUGUUACAACAUGAUGUUCUGAUAUACACAUAUACAUAUAGUCAAAUGCUUAGUACAGUCAAACAAAAUUACAUAUUCAUCAUCUUCCAUAAUUACCUCUUUUUCUUUGUGUUAAGAUCACCUAAAAUCUACUCUUAGCAAAUUUUCAGUACGCAGUACAAUAUUAUUAACUACAGUCCUCAUGCUGCACAUUAAAUCUCUAGAUUUAUCCUACCAAUUUUUAAAUGAUAGCAAUUCAUUCACUUUUUAAUUUUUGGAAACACUGUGUGGUCAAGGAGAACAGUUUUAUGCUGUGUUAGAAUUUACAAAGCACUCUCAAGUCCACAUUUGGUCCAAACAAACAGGCUAUCACAUAGGAAGAUUUUUUUUUCCUUUGCAAAUAAAGAAACUGAGGAAUACAGUGAUUAUGUGACCAGCUCAAAGUGACAUAUCUAUUAUGAAAAAAGAACGUAGGACUAAAACCCGGUGUUUAUACAUCUCAGCUUAAUCGAAACUCUCCUAUGUUUAUCGAACCUUUGUGCAGAUGCAGAGUCAGUCAUUAUUUAUGUUGUAACAGUUUCCACUUAAUUUCAUUCUUGCUCGUUUGGUUCUUCUGCUUUUGCAUUUUAUGUAAUCUGGGUUGUCUCCCAAACAAAACUCAAAGAGUAACCUUAACACUUUUGAUGUGGUCUACUUCACUGACUUGACUUUGAGGAGUAACAAGAAAAUUUCAUAAUGGAGUUAUUUAUUCUCCAUCUAGUUUUUUUCUUCAUUUCAUGUAAUAAAUAAUUUCAGCACAUUUUCAGCUGUAAGUCUCUUUGCUGAAGUCAUUCUGAACAAAAUUAUGAACAUACUACCAAAAAGAAAUGAGUUUGUUUUUGUGAAAUACAUCUCAGAAAGAACAACUGUGAUAAACCUAUUCAUACAAAAACUUUGUACUUUAAGUUACAAAUUAUCUUUAAUUCCUGGGAUUUACUGCUGUAAUUUCUGAUAGCCUAGGCCUUCCGAGACCUUCACCAUGAACCACUUAAGACAGAAUAGAGGCUUUCCUUUAGUAGUUAAUAAGAAAAUUAUAUUUUACUAAAACCAAACUUUUUUUAUUAUUAUACUUUAAGUUCUAGGGUACAUGUCUACAACAUGCAGGUUUGCUACAUAGGUAUACAUGUGCCAUGUUGGUUUGCUGCACCCAUCAACUCGUCAUUUACAUUAGGUAUUUCUCCUAAUGCUAUCCCUCCCCAAGCCCCCAACUCCACAACAGGCCCCAGUGUGUGAUGUUCCCCGCCCUGUGUCCAAGUGUUCUCAUUGUUCAAUUCCCACCUAUGAGUGAGAACAUGUGGUGUUUAAACCAAACCUUUUUUGAAGUAGUAGAUGAGGCAUUUCUCUUCUAUAAAUGAGAUUUGCAAAUAGUGAUUUUAUUUAUUAGUUUAGGAAUCAAGAAAUCCCCAGAAUGAAUGGUAAGGUAAUUUUAGGGCCUUUUGAUAGAAUCAGACUAUUGGGUGUUUGGAAAGUUUCUGGAAAUUUUUUUUUUUUUUUUUUUUUGGUAAGCUUUAGCACCAGAGUUUCAGAGAGAGAGAGAGAUUGGAACAUUUCUCCAAGGGGCAUUCAUUGGUUUUAC